AGAGUUUGAUCCUGGCUCAGGAUGAACGCUAGCGGCAGGCUUAACACAUGCAAGUCGAGGGGCAUCGGGAGGGAAGCUUGCUUCCUUGCCGGCGACCGGCGCACGGGUGAGUAACACGUAUGCAACCUGCCCUCUUCAGGGGGACAACCUUCCGAAAGGGAGGCUAAUCCCGCGUAUAUCGGUUUCGGGCAUCCGAGAUCGAGGAAAGAUUCAUCGGAAGAGGAUGGGCAUGCGGCGCAUUAGCUUGACGGCGGGGUAACGGCCCACCGUGGCGACGAUGCGUAGGGGUUCUGAGAGGAAGGUCCCCCACACUGGUACCGAGACACGGACCAGACUCCUACGGGAGGCAGCAGUGAGGAAUAUUGGUCAAUGGGAGAGAUCCUGAACCAGCCAAGCCGCGUGAGGGAAGACGGCCCUAUGGGUUGUAAACCUCUUUUGUCGGAGAACAAAACCCGGGACGUGUCCCGGACUGCGUGUAUCCGAAGAAAAAGCAUCGGCUAACUCCGUG
RNAcentral lists this ribosomal RNA (508 nucleotides) under uncultured Bacteroidales bacterium. RNAcentral's name for it is "bacterial SSU rRNA". It matches the Rfam family "Bacterial small subunit ribosomal RNA", at positions 8 to 507 of the family's 1533-position model. The record is from RNAcentral. Lineage: Bacteria; Pseudomonadati; Bacteroidota; Bacteroidia; Bacteroidales.